Molecule: ribosomal RNA, 520 nt
Filed under: uncultured Glomus
Lineage: Eukaryota; Fungi; Glomeromycota; Glomeromycetes; Glomerales; Glomeraceae
Description: SSU rRNA
Rfam family: Eukaryotic small subunit ribosomal RNA
Source: RNAcentral
AGCAGCCGCGGUAAUUCCAGCUCCAAUAGCGUAUAUUAAAGUUGUUGCGGUUAAAAAGCUCGUAGUUGAAUUUCGGGGUCAGUAGAUUGGUCGUGCCACUGGUAUGCACUGGUCUUACUGGCUCCUCCUUCCUGAUGAACCGUAAUGCCAUUAAUUUGGUGUUGCGGGGAGACUGGACUGUUACUUUGAAAAAAUUAGAGUGUUUAAAGCAGGCUAACGCUUGAAUACAUUAGCAUGGAAUAAUGAAAUAGGACGUUCGAUCUUAUUUUGUUGGUUUCUAAGAUUGACGUAAUGAUUAAUAGGGAUAGUUGGGGGCAUUAGUAUUCAAUUGUCAGAGGUGAAAUUCUUGGAUUUAUUGAAGACUAACUACUGCGAAAGCAUUUGCCAAGGAUGUUUUCAUUAAUCAAGAACGAAAGUUAGGGGAUCGAAGACGAUCAGAUACCGUCGUAGUCUUAACCAUAAACUAUGCCGACUAGGGAUCGGAUGAUGUUAAUUUUUAAUGACUCAUUCGGCGCCUUAC